This 287-nucleotide long non-coding RNA is filed under the name Gossypium barbadense (sea-island cotton). RNAcentral describes it as "long non-coding RNA (GBAR_LNC005757)". The record is from RNAcentral. Lineage: Eukaryota; Viridiplantae; Streptophyta; Magnoliopsida; Malvales; Malvaceae.
AUUAGUUAAAAUAAUUAAGGGUAAAAGUGUUAAUCAAAUUUUAGUCUUUCCAGUGGAGGUUGUAAAUGUUAUAAGAACAUUAGAUAAAAAAAUCACUCAAACAAAAACAUUGGAUCCUUUUCAUGUGCUUGCAAGAUUGAAGAAAUAUUUCAUAAAAGUACACAAAUUUAUCUUCGAUCCUUACUUGAAAAAGAAACACCUUCUUUUAUCCCUAUAAAAAUAUUGGGAAGAUGAGAUUGGAGUCAAGUUUUGUUGACUUUUGAUGGCUUAUGAAUCUAGGAUCUCCC